GGGGGAGGCUGGGAAGGACAGUGGAGGCUGAUAAAUAAGGCAGCAGUCUGUUCUGAGGGACGAGAAGGCAAAGAGGAGGAGGAGAACACACUUUGCCUUCUCUUUGGCAUCAAGUGAUAUCAGACGAAUUACAGACAUCCCAACAAUUUGGCCAGGCAGCCUGCUGAGCAAGGUAACUCAGCCAUCAUGGCUGUCUCUUUGCCACCCGCCCUGGGACUCAGUUCCGCCCCAGAUGAAAUUCAGCACCCGCAUAUGAAAUUUUCAGAAUGGAAAUUUAAGCUCUUCAGGGUGAGAUCUUUUGAAAAGGCACCUGAAGAAGCUCAAAUAGAAAAGAAAAUUUCCUCUGAGGGGAAACCCUCUCUGGAGCAAACUCCAGCAGUCCUGGACAAGGCCGAUGGUCAGAAGCCAGCCCCGAGUCAACCGGCAUUAAAAGCUCACCCUACGUUUUCGAAGAAAUCCCAUGAUGAUGGGAAAGCAGGAGACAAAGCAAUCCACCAAGCCAACCUUCGCCAUCUCUGCCGUAUCUGUGGGAAUUCUUUUAAAACUGAUGGGCACAAUAGGAGCUAUCCAGUCCAUGGGCCAGUGGAUGGUAAAACCCAAGUCCUUUUACGAAAGAAGGAAAAGAGAGCCACUUCCUGGCCAGACCUCAUUGCCAAGCGGUUCCGCUACGACUCGGCUUUGGUGUCUGCUUUGAUGGACAUGGAAGAAGAUAUCCUGGAAGGCAUGAGAGCCCAAGACUUGGAUGACUACCUGAAUGGCCCCUUCACCGUCGUGGUGAAGGAGUCUUGUGACGGCAUGGGAGAUGUGAGUGAGAAGCAUGGGAGCGGGCCAGCAGUUCCAGAAAAGGCGGUUCGCUUUUCGUUCACAGUCAUGAAGAUUACCGUAGCGCACGGCUCAGAAAACGUGAAGGUAUUUGAGGAGGUCAAACCUAACUCUGAACUGUGUUGCAAGCCCUUGUGCCUCAUGCUGGCAGACGAGUCUGACCACGAGACACUGACGGCCAUCUUGAGCCCUCUCAUUGCCGAGAGGGAGGCCAUGAAGGCCAGCAACUUAGUGCUGGAGAUGGGAGGCAUCCUUCGGACUUUCAAGUUCAUCUUCAGGGGCACUGGGUACGAUGAGAAGCUUGUCCGGGAAGUUGAAGGCCUCGAGGCUUCUGGCUCAGUCUACAUUUGUACCCUUUGUGAUGCCACCCGUCUGGAGGCCUCUCAAAAUCUUGUCUUCCACUCCAUAACCAGAAGCCACUCUGAGAACCUGGAGCGCUACGAGGUCUGGCGUUCCAACCCGUACCACGAGUCUGUGGAAGAACUGCGGGAUCGCGUGAAAGGAGUCUCAUCGAAACCUUUCAUUGAGACCGUCCCUUCCAUAGAUGCACUCCACUGUGACAUUGGCAAUGCGGCUGAGUUCUACAAGAUUUUCCAGCUAGAGAUAGGGGAGGUGUACAAGAAUCCCAAUGCCUCCAAAGAGGAAAGGAAAAGGUGGCAGGCUACGCUGGACAAGCAUCUCCGGAAGAAGAUGAACCUGAAGCCAAUCAUGAGGAUGAAUGGCAACUUUGCCAGGAGGCUCAUGACCAAAGAAACAGUUGAAGCCGUCUGUGAAUUAAUCCCCUCCGAGGAGAGGCAUGAAGCUCUCAGGGAGCUGAUGGACCUUUACCUGAAGA
RNAcentral lists this long non-coding RNA (1657 nucleotides) under Felis catus (domestic cat). RNAcentral describes it as "recombination activating 1 (ENSFCAG00000002908.4)". Lineage: Eukaryota; Metazoa; Chordata; Mammalia; Carnivora; Felidae. The record is from RNAcentral.